This is an RNA transcript of Cercocebus atys (sooty mangabey), 1132 nucleotides long. It is a transcript of the gene named gastricsin-like, with no coding region annotated. The transcript is spliced from 9 exons. The record is from RefSeq and is a predicted model, not a curated record. NCBI's taxonomy places the organism in Eukaryota, Metazoa, Chordata, Mammalia, Primates, Cercopithecidae.
AUGAGUACCGAGUUGGGCAAUGUUUACAGCUGCAAGUCUAUCCAACAGACAAUGGAGGAGCAGGGUAUACUGGAAACGUUUCUGAGGGACCACCCAAAGGCUGAUCCAAUUGCCAAGUAUCGUUUCAAUAAUGAUGCUGUUGCUUAUGAGCCCAUCACCAACUACAUGUGAUCUUUCUACUUUGGGGAGAUCAGCAUUGGGACACCACCCCAAAAUUUCCUAGUCCUCUUUGACACGGGCUCCUCCAAUCUCUGGGUGCCCUCCAUCUACUGCCAGAGCCAAACCUGCUCCAAUCACAACAGGUUCAACCCCAGCCUGUCCUCCACCUUCAGAAACAAUGGACAAACCUAUACACUGUCCUAUGGGAGUGGCAACCUGAGUGUGUUCCUGGGCUAUGACACUGUGACUGUUCAGAACAUCAUCGUCAAUAACCAGGAGUUUGGCCUCAGUGAGAAUGAGCUCAGUGACCCGUUCUACUAUUCAGAUUUUGACGGGAUCCUGGGAAUGGCCUACCGAAGCAUGGCAGUGGGGAAUUCCCCGACAGUGAUGCAGGGGAUGCUGCAGCAGGGCCAGAUCACUCAGCCUGACUUCAGCUUCUACUUCACCCACCAACCAACCCGCCAGUAUGGUGGAGAGCUCAUCCUUGGAGGUGUGGACCCCCAACUUUAUUCUGGUCAGAUCAUCUGAACCCCUGUCACCCGGGAACUGUACUGGCAGAUUGGCAUCGAGGAAUUUGCCAUCGGUAACCAGGCCACUGGCUUGUGCUCUGAGGGUUGCCAGGCCAUUGUGGUUACCGGGACCUUCCUGCUGGCAGUUCCCCAGCAGUACAUGGGCUCCUUCCUGCAGGCAACAGGAGCCCAGCAGGCUCAGAAUGGUGAUUUUGUGGUCCACUGCAGCUACAUACAGAGCAUGCCCACCAUCACCUUCACCAUCGGCGGGGCCCAGUUUCCUCUGCCUCCCUCUGCCUAUGUCUUCAAUAACAAUGGCUACUGCGGGCUCGGAAUUGAGGCCACCUAACUGCCCCUCCCGCAGUGGGCAGCCCCUCUGGAUUCUAGGGGAUGUCUUCCUCAAGGAAUAUUACUCUGUCUAUGACAUGGCCAACAAUAGGUUGGGUUUUGCCUUCUCUGCCUAG